RNAcentral lists this signal recognition particle RNA (300 nucleotides) under Saimiri boliviensis boliviensis (Bolivian squirrel monkey). RNAcentral's name for it is "Metazoan signal recognition particle RNA (ENSSBOG00000015670.1)". It matches the Rfam family "Metazoan signal recognition particle RNA". From Rfam's summary of the family: The signal recognition particle (SRP) is a universally conserved ribonucleoprotein. It is involved in the co-translational targeting of proteins to membranes. The record is from RNAcentral. Lineage: Eukaryota; Metazoa; Chordata; Mammalia; Primates; Cebidae.
GCCGGGCGCUGUGGCAUGUGCCUAUAGUAUCAGGUACUUGGGAGGCUGAGGCUGGAGGAUCCCUUGAGUCCAGGAGUUCUGGGCUGUAGUGCUCUGUGCUGAUCAGGUGUCUGCACUAAGUUCAGCAUCAAUAUGGUGACCUCUCCAGAGCGGGGGACCACCAGCUUGCCUAACUGAGGGGUAAACUGGCCCAGGUUGGAAACGGGGCAGGUCAAAACUUCUGUGCUGAUCAGUAGUGGGAUCAUGCCUAUGAAUAGCCACUGCACUCCAGCCUGGGCAACAUAGUGAGACCCCGUCUCU